AGUCGAGCGGCAGCGACAACAUUGAACCUUCGGGGGAUUUGUUGGGCGGCGAGCGGCGGACGGGUGAGUAAUGCCUAGGAAAUUGCCCUGAUGUGGGGGAUAACCAUUGGAAACGAUGGCUAAUACCGCAUGAUGCCUUCGGGCCAAAGAGGGGGACCUUCGGGCCUCUCGCGUCAGGAUAUGCCUAGGUGGGAUUAGCUAGUUGGUGAGGUAAGGGCUCACCAAGGCGACGAUCCCUAGCUGGUCUGAGAGGAUGAUCAGCCACACUGGAACUGAGACACGGUCCAGACUCCUACGGGAGGCAGCAGUGGGGAAUAUUGCACAAUGGGCGCAAGCCUGAUGCAGCCAUGCCGCGUGUGUGAAGAAGGCCUUCGGGUUGUAAAGCACUUUCAGUCGUGAGGAAGGUAGUGUGUUUAAUAGAUGCAUUAUUUGACGUUAGCGACAGAAGAAGCACCGGCUAACUCCGUGCCAGCAGCCGCGGUAAUACGGAGGGUGCGAGCGUUAAUCGGAAUUACUGGGCGUAAAGCGCAUGCAGGUGGUUUGUUAAGUCAGAUGUGAAAGCCCGGGGCUCAACCUCGGAAUAGCAUUUGAAACUGGCAGACUAGAGUACUGUAGAGGGGGGUAGAAUUUCAGGUGUAGCGGUGAAAUGCGUAGAGAUCUGAAGGAAUACCGGUGGCGAAGGCGGCCCCCUGGACAGAUACUGACACUCAGAUGCGAAAGCGUGGGGAGCAAACAGGAUUAGAUACCCUGGUAGUCCACGCCGUAAACGAUGUCUACUUGGAGGUUGUGGCCUUGAGCCGUGGCUUUCGGAGCUAACGCGUUAAGUAGACCGCCUGGGGAGUACGGUCGCAAGAUUAAAACUCAAAUGAAUUGACGGGGGCCCGCACAAGCGGUGGAGCAUGUGGUUUAAUUCGAUGCAACGCGAAGAACCUUACCUACUCUUGACAUCCAGAGAAUCCUGCGGAGACGCGGGAGUGCCUUCGGGAACUCUGAGACAGGUGCUGCAUGGCUGUCGUCAGCUCGUGUUGUGAAAUGUUGGGUUAAGUCCCGCAACGAGCGCAACCCUUAUCCUUGUUUGCCAGCGAGUAAUGUCGGGAACUCCAGGGAGACUGCCGGUGAUAAACCGGAGGAAGGUGGGGACGACGUCAAGUCAUCAUGGCCCUUACGAGUAGGGCUACACACGUGCUACAAUGGCGCAUACAGAGGGCAGCCAACUUGCGAAAGUGAGCGAAUCCCAAAAAGUGCGUCGUAGUCCGGAUUGGAGUCUGCAACUCGACUCCAUGAAGUCGGAAUCGCUAGUAAUCGUGGAUCAGAAUGCCACGGUGAAUACGUUCCCGGGCCUUGUACACACCGCCCGUCACACCAUGGGAGUGGGCUGCAAAAGAAGUAGGUAGUUUAACCUUCGGGGGGACGCUA
Molecule: ribosomal RNA, 1416 nt
Filed under: Vibrio sp.
Lineage: Bacteria; Pseudomonadati; Pseudomonadota; Gammaproteobacteria; Vibrionales; Vibrionaceae
Description: bacterial SSU rRNA
Rfam family: Bacterial small subunit ribosomal RNA
Source: RNAcentral